This 165-nucleotide ribosomal RNA is filed under the name Ipomoea cairica (mile-a-minute vine). RNAcentral describes it as "5.8S ribosomal RNA". The stretch from base 1 to 137 matches the Rfam family "5.8S ribosomal RNA", at positions 20 to 154 of the family's 154-position model. Rfam says of the family: 5.8S ribosomal RNA (5.8S rRNA) is a component of the large subunit of the eukaryotic ribosome. It is transcribed by RNA polymerase I as part of the 45S precursor that also contains 18S and 28S rRNA. Lineage: Eukaryota; Viridiplantae; Streptophyta; Magnoliopsida; Solanales; Convolvulaceae. The record is from RNAcentral.
CUCGGCUCUCGCAUCGAUGAAGAACGUAGCGAAAUGCGAUACUUGGUGUGAAUUGCAGAAUCCCGUGAACCAUCGAGUCUUUGAACGCAAGUUGCGCCCGAAGCCGUCAGGCCGAGGGCACGUCUGCCUGGGCGUCACGCAUCGCGUCGCCCCCAAUGCUUGGCC